GUGGGGAAUAUUGCACAAUGGGCGCAAGCCUGAUGCAGCAAUGCCGCGUGUGUGAAGAAGGCCUGCGGGUUGUAAAGCACUUUUAUUGGGAAAGAAAAACCCGGAGCUAAUACCUCCGGCAUUGACGGUACCCAAAGAAUAAGCACCGGCUAACUCAGUGCCAGCAGCCGCGGUAAUACUGAGGGUGCGAGCGUUAAUCGGAAUUACUGGGCGUAAAGCGAGUGUAGGCGGUUACCUAAGUCGGAUGUGAAAGCCCCGGGCUUAACCUGGGAAUUGCAUUCGAUACUGGGUGACUGGAGUUUGGUAGAGGUAAGUGGAAUUCCGGGUGUAGCGGUGAAAUGCGUAGAUAUCCGGAGGAACAUCAGUGGCGAAGGCGGCUUACUGGACCAAAACUGACGCUGAGGCUCGAAAGCGUGGGUAGCAAACAGGAUUAGAUACCCGGGUAGUCC
This 449-nucleotide ribosomal RNA is filed under the name uncultured bacterium. Its description in RNAcentral is "bacterial SSU rRNA". It matches the Rfam family "Bacterial small subunit ribosomal RNA", at positions 354 to 796 of the family's 1533-position model. The record is from RNAcentral.